This 480-nucleotide long non-coding RNA is filed under the name Rattus norvegicus (Norway rat). RNAcentral describes it as "long non-coding RNA NONRATT032562". Lineage: Eukaryota; Metazoa; Chordata; Mammalia; Rodentia; Muridae. The record is from RNAcentral.
GGCAGGGCAAGAGCUUCAUGCUUUUCUCUGCCCACUGAGGCUGGGUACCACCAGAUGCUCCUCAGUAGUGGGAGGGGCCGGGGCAGGUACAUGGGUGGGAUCUGCAAGCCUUUGGCUCUGUUUUGUGGCACAGUGCAUCUGCCUCGAUGACUCAUCUCACUCCAUUUCUGUUUCCUACAGGCGGUACGAUUUAUCGUUUGACAUUGCUUCUCAGAUACAUUAUCCAGGACUACACAAAGGCUGAGCUUAUAAGUAGACUCGAGAAUAAUGUAAACACAUUGAGGCCUUUUCUAAAUAUCGUCAAGCUCGGCUCCUCAGAAGUCCAUGCCUGUACCGGCUUCAGAAAACGAGUGCGGGUGCAGGCUCCUGCUGUGUGGAUAGACACUCGGUCAAGACAGUGCUAGAAGCUACCUCAAACGGUACAGAUUCACAUGAAUUUUCCUGAAUCGUUUUUAUUUUUAACAGCUUUAUUAGGCUUGA